UGAGAAUGGACUGUAAAGUUUAUGUGGGCAACCUAGGCAACAACGCGGCAAAGCAUGAGCUGGAGUCUGCGUUCUCUAAAUACGGGCCCUUAGUCAAUGUGUGGGUCGCCCGGAACCCCCCUGGGUUUGCAUUUGUGGAGUUUGAAGACCCAAGAGAUGCAGAGGAUGCUGUGCGUGCCCUUGAUGGAACGCGCCUGUGUGGUGUGCGUGUAAGAGUUGAAAUGUCCACUGGCCGUUCUCGCCGCGACCGGUACCGCUCCCCCCCCAGAAGAGGCAGAAGAUCCAGGACUAUCUCGCCCAAAUUACUUCUUGUUCCACCACCACCAUCUACUCCUCCUACUGUUGCUACCACACCACCACCACCAACUCCACCACAACCACCACCACCACCACAAGUACUUCCACCACCACCACCACCACCACCACUGCUAGCAUCAGCGUCAGCCUGCUUGUACAGUGGACUUCCAGUUUUGGGUUGUAGGGGUAGAUGGGGCGCCUCAUUGUGGGCGUCCCUCCCACUCAUCACCUUGUACCUCACUGGGAAUGCAACUUGAUGUAUGUCACAUAUUGGAUCAAGUAACUUUCCUAGAUGGUGAAGUAUGAUAGUGUUUUUAUAACUCUCUUGUGCUUCAUUAAUCUUAGGAUGGUAUUGUGUACCAGUGUUGGUAGGGUGGUGGGCCCUGAUCAGCCAAGGCAUGGCGGCGGUGGUGGUGCGCGGCACGUUGCCUGAUGGCCCUCCUACGGCGCGGCACCUCGCGGCACCCGGGCAGCCCUUAUGCGCUUCACGUGUCCUCUUCUCCCCGCCCGUCUACGUCUACCCUCCGCCCACUGCCCGCCCAACGCCCGCCCGCUGCCUGCGCACCGUCAGGCCUGCCCCCCCACCCACCAUCUUGGGUCUCUGACCCUCCAACGUUUGCUCCACUUUCUUACAUUCAUCGCGCCUCGACUCAUCAUAACGACUACCCUGCUGUGACGAUCCCGCUCCCCUCGGCGGUGGGGUGGCCGAUCACGGUCUAGGACCCCCAGGCGAACCAGGUCUCGAUCCCCAAGGUCUGUUUCGAGAUCACCAAGGUACGAUGACUACCGCCGCAGAAGUGAUUCUCCAGACUUUAAAAG
RNA transcript from Penaeus indicus, 1116 nucleotides. It is a transcript of the gene named serine/arginine-rich splicing factor 3-like, with no coding region annotated. The record is from RefSeq and is a predicted model, not a curated record. The transcript has 5 exons. Lineage: Eukaryota; Metazoa; Arthropoda; Malacostraca; Decapoda; Penaeidae.